GUCCACUCCACGCAUCGACCUGG
Molecule: non-coding RNA, 23 nt
Filed under: Xenopus tropicalis (tropical clawed frog)
Lineage: Eukaryota; Metazoa; Chordata; Amphibia; Anura; Pipidae
Also listed under: 1 other name
Source: RNAcentral